UAAUUUUAAAAAUUUAUUAUUCUAGAGUAGUAAUUAGUAUAAAUUAAAAUUUAAAAAAUUUGGCAGUAUUUUAUUGUAUUAGAGGAUUUUGUUCUGUAAUUGAUAAUACACAAUAUAUUUUACUUAAUUUUAAAAUUUAUAUAUUGUUAUCAAAAAAAUAUCUUAAAAAAGAAUUUUUAAAAAUUUUUUAAAAAAAAAUGUUAAAUCAAAAUGUAGUGAAUAAUUAAGAUUGAGAUGAAAUACAAUAAAUAAAUUUUUAUGAAUUCUUUUUUGGAAAAAAAAGUUGAAAUUGGAUUUAAUAGUAAAUUAUAUUAUAUUUUAUUAUUGAAAAUAAUUUAAAAUGUGU
This 346-nucleotide ribosomal RNA is filed under the name Porricondyla nigripennis. RNAcentral describes it as "12S ribosomal RNA". The record is from RNAcentral. Lineage: Eukaryota; Metazoa; Arthropoda; Insecta; Diptera; Cecidomyiidae.